CUAGGACAUAUAUCAUACAAUAUAUACUACCAACAAUAAAAGAUUUGACUCAAGUUGACGGACUAACACGCCAUAUCUGGCAGGUAAAACACACCCUAAUCCAUAGUAUCAGUUGGCGGAUACUACCGCGAUUAGACUCAACCUACUAGUAGACACUAUCUGUUUUUGAAAACUUGUUUAUAGUGAACACAGGAAUAACUGCUUCGUGGAUACACCACUUAUGCAGACUACUCUUUUUAUACUGUCAGACUUACUGUUUACUUUUCAUGCAACGUCCACUAAUAUUUUCACGCAUACACCAUUUUUCCCGCAUAUUCUAUUCGCUGUG
RNAcentral lists this long non-coding RNA (328 nucleotides) under Gossypium barbadense (sea-island cotton). Its description in RNAcentral is "long non-coding RNA (GBAR_LNC002047)". Lineage: Eukaryota; Viridiplantae; Streptophyta; Magnoliopsida; Malvales; Malvaceae. The record is from RNAcentral.